RNAcentral lists this ribosomal RNA (119 nucleotides) under Pteropus alecto (black flying fox). The record is from RNAcentral. Lineage: Eukaryota; Metazoa; Chordata; Mammalia; Chiroptera; Pteropodidae.
GUCUAUGGCCAUGCCACCCUGAACGUACCCGAUCUCAUCUGAUUUCGGAAGCUAAGCAGGGUCGGGCGUUGUUAGUACUUGGAUGGGAGACCACCUGGGAAUACCAGGUGCUGUAGGCG